Molecule: long non-coding RNA, 1047 nt
Filed under: Citrus x clementina
Lineage: Eukaryota; Viridiplantae; Streptophyta; Magnoliopsida; Sapindales; Rutaceae
Description: Citrus clementina (C. clementina) long non-coding RNA (CCLE_LNC006664)
Source: RNAcentral
UCUACUCAUAUCAAAAUAUAUAUUUCUUGUUUUAAUACUUAAUAUGGGCAUUACAUUCAAUUAUUAACCAAAAAUUAGCCGACAUCUAGCAUAUCGGACCUAGUCCAAGCCGAAUUAUUAUUGAUCAUUAGUAGAGUCUCCUGCUCUUUCUAUGAUGAUCUUUCCAUGUGGGAGGAAUUAUUUUUGUAAAUAAGAAAAAAAAUUUAUGUUAUUUACAACAAUAUUUAUUUAAUAUAAAUUUAUUUUUACUGUUAUUUUUAUUUUCUAACUGUUGACGAUUAAUCACGCCGUAAAAAAUUUAAUGGUGGUCUUUCACUUAUUUGUGUUAAUUUAUUUUGUUUUCAUUUAUUUUAUUUGAAAAUUUAAGUGUUGGGGUUUUAUCCAUAACCCAUGGGUAAACCAUACCCAAACCAUAAUGAAAUGGUUUUCUACAUAAAACUCACAUCUAACCCAUUUUAAUGAUUUACCCAACCCAAACCAUUUAAUUUGGUUUGAGUUUCGAUAAACCCAUGGGUUGUGGGUUUAUGCCCACCCCUAACUUAAACCCAUAAACGACCUUGUUUUUCUCUGCUUGCACUAGGAGAUUAGAAAAUGCUUCUUUCUCAUUGAGACCAUACUAGAGCCGAUUAAGAAUUCGAAUUAAAAUCUAAGGAUUCGACUACUAGCUUAGGUCACCUAGUAUUUUAUAUAAUGUUGAGACACAAAAAUACAAGCUAGAUCGCACAAGAGAGGCACAGGCAAAGACUAGCAGCAGUGUCGUCUAAAGCUUUCUACAGUUGGUUCUAUUCAUUCUAUUGCUCUCUAUUUAAGCAUAUAUUGUUAAUUUUCUUAUAUCGAAGUUAAGGAUGAAACUCAUUCAAUGAAAUAAUUAUCUUUUUGUUUAAUUAAUUUCUUACAUAUCGAAGUUAGAUCGCACAAGAGAGGCACGGGCAAAGAAUAGCAACAGUGCCGUCUAAAGCUUUCUACAGCUGGUUCUAUUAAUUCUAUUGCUCUCUAUUUAAGUAUAUAUAGUUAAUUUUCUUAUAUCGAAGUUAAGGAUGAAACCCA